CUCAGGAUGAACGCUAGCGGCAGGCCUAACACAUGCAAGUCGAGGGGCAUCACGUGUAGCAAUACAUGGUGGCGACCGGCGCACGGGUGAGUAACGCGUAUGUAACCUACCUUUUACCGGGGGAUAGCUCAGAGAAAUCUGAAUUAAUACCGCAUAAAACAGGGAUACCGCAUGGUAAUAUUAGUUAAAACCGAGGUGGUAAGAGAUGGGCAUGCGUGCCAUUAGCUAGUUGGAGAGGUAACGGCUCACCAAGGCAACGAUGGCUAGGGGGUCUGAGAGGAUGGUCCCCCACACUGGAACUGAGACACGGUCCAGACUCCUACGGGAGGCAGCAGUGAGGAAUAUUGGUCAAUAGGGGGAACCCUGAACCAGCCAUGCCGCGUGAAGGAAGAAUGCCCUAAGGGUUGUAAACUUCUUUUGUACGGGAGUAAAUGUAGGUACGCGUACCUAUUUGAAAGUACUGUACGAAUAAGCAUCGGCUAACUCCGUGCCAGCAGCCGCGGUAAUACGGAGGAUGCGAGCGUUAUCCGGAUUUAUUGGGUUUAAAGGGUGCGUAGGCGGGUUUGUAAGUCAGUGGUGAAAGACUGUCGCUUAACGAUAGCAUUGCCAUUGAUACUGCAGAUCUUGAGUACAGUUGAGGUAGGCGGAAUGUGUAGUGUAGCGGUGAAAUGCUUAGAUAUUACACAGAACACCAAUUGCGAAGGCAGCUUACUAAAGUGUAACUGACGCUGAGGCACGAAAGCGUGGGGAUCAAACAGGAUUAGAUACCCUGGUAGUCCACGCCGUAAACGAUGAUCACUGGAUGUUUGCGAUACACAGCAAGCGUCUGAGCGAAAGCAUUAAGUGAUCCACCUGGGGAGUACGUCGGCAACGAUGAA
Molecule: ribosomal RNA, 878 nt
Filed under: uncultured bacterium
Lineage: Bacteria
Description: bacterial SSU rRNA
Rfam family: Bacterial small subunit ribosomal RNA
Source: RNAcentral